AAUAGAUACCCGGGUAGUCCACGCCGUAAACGAUGAAUACUAGGUGUAGGAGGUAUCGACCCCUUCUGUGCCGCAGUUAACACAAUAAGUAUUCCGCCUGGGGAGUACGAUCGCAAGAUUAAAACUCAAAGGAAUUGACGGGGGCCCGCACAAGCAGCGGAGCAUGUGGUUUAAUUCGAAGCAACGCGAAGAACCUUACCCAGACUUGACAUCCCCUGAAUUACCUGUAAUGAGGGAAGCCCUUCGGGGCAGGGAGACAGGUGGUGCAUGGUUGUCGUCAGCUCGUGUCGUGAGAUGUUGGGUUAAGUCCCGCAACGAGCGCAACCCUUAUCAUUAGUUGCUACCAUUAAGUUGAGCACUCUAGUGAGACUGCCCGGGUUAACCGGGAGGAAGGUGGGGAUGACGUCAAAUCAUCAUGCCCCUUAUGUCUAGGGCUACACACGUGCUACAGUGGUUGGUACAAUAAGAUGCAAUACCGUGAGGUGGAGCUAAACUUAUAAAACCAAUCCCAGUUCGGAUUGUAGGCUGAAACUCGCCUACA
Molecule: ribosomal RNA, 541 nt
Filed under: uncultured bacterium
Lineage: Bacteria
Description: bacterial SSU rRNA
Rfam family: Bacterial small subunit ribosomal RNA
Source: RNAcentral